Molecule: RNA transcript, 8205 nt
Organism: Callithrix jacchus (white-tufted-ear marmoset)
Lineage: Eukaryota; Metazoa; Chordata; Mammalia; Primates; Cebidae
Gene: CNNM3
Gene name: cyclin and CBS domain divalent metal cation transport mediator 3
Source: RefSeq, a predicted model, not a curated record
UGCAGCUGCCUUUUCGUCCACACCUACAGGCUGGUUGUAGUUUCAAAGUUAGAGUGUUCAUCCCUGAAGAACCUGACUGAGUUACUCACUACACCCACUCUCAAAGUUGCAGCUCUGCAGGGGACUCUAUGGUGCUGUCUAGGUGCUGCAGGCUCACUUGUACAAUGGAAUGUACUGAGGCCAGGGACUCCAAGCAUGCAAAGGUUAAUGUAGUAGACAAACUGGGGGCAUGCUUGAAAAAAGGGAAGCAUCUGGGUAGACAACACAGAAAAGAAGAUAUUCCAGAUAAAAGAGAUACACAUGCAAACGUGUGUGUGUAGGGCAAGAUUUGUGAAUUAUCUUCAUCUGUUCCACAUACUUAAACACCUAUUGCAUUCCAGGUACUAUAACCCCUGUGUGAAUUUAGUGAAGAACCUCCCUCUGACCCUAAAGGGGACAGUCACAGCUUUUUGACUUGUAUCCCCUACCUGGGACACAUCCUCUAAGUUUUGAUGAGACUCACCCCUUAUUUAAGCCUCAGUUCAAAUCCCAUCUCCUUGAGAAGCCCUCUCUGAUUAGCCCAUCUCAGUCAGCAUCGCCCCAGCAUCUGUCUUUUUAUCUUGCCUUUUUCCCUCCAUAGCACUUACUACCAGGUAUUAAAAUAUAGACGGGUAUUUUUUGUUGUCCUUGCACUAGAAUCUAGCCCCACAAGGGUAGGGACUUAAUUUUAUUCCCACUACAGUUCCAACACUAGAACAGUACCUGGUACACUGCAGGGACUCAAUGCAGGAAAUACUUGUUGAAUGAAUAAAUGAAUAUGUUACAAUAGGUGAUGUACCUCGAUGACGUGGGGAGAGCACAUAGCUCCGUAGUCAAGAGGGUCAAGGAAGAUCACUUGGAGGGAGUAGCAUAUGAGCUAAGGCUUGAGAGAUAAGCAGGAAUUAGCCAAUGGGUUUAAAACUCAAGAAUAAAUUUUUAGCUCUACCAUGGAAAUAUCUUGAUCCGAAAGACCAAUAAGGAAAAUGGCCCAGGGAGGACCAACAAUGGCCUGAAGGUUAAGUGGCUGUGUCUCCACUGUUGCUAACCAGGGGUGGAGUAAACAAUGGCACAGCCACAGAAGCUGGCAAAGGACUGUUGAGGCCUCUACUGCAAAUGGAAAACCACUCCAGGAGCAGCUCUGCAUGUCCCAUACUGGGUUUUUUGUCAGUAUCUUUUGGUACUGACAAUUUAAAUGACCACUUACGUUUUCCAAGUUUGAGCCAAUUGUUCUUUCACCUGAAGCUUUACUCCCAGAAAGUAAGUUAUAGGUUGGUUGUUUUCCAAGGAAGCCUGAGACAAGGAAAAAGUAACAUGUCAAAGGUGAGGGCCCUGUCUUUAAAUCCAUGGGGAGCUGUUCCCGGCUUUCCUUUGGAACUGUUCUUUGGUAGUGAAGGACUUUUCAAGCACAGGACUCAUUUCAAGCAUGUCAUCCAUUCUAUUUCAAUGUCAGCAUUUUAUCUUGACUUGGAGACAGAAGUGAGAACUAAAGGAGCUGAAUCUAUUAUAACGUUUGCACUUUUUUUUUUUUCUAUAAAGGAGGGAUGAUGAUCCAGUGGAAAGGCCCAGUAAUGUCUUUAUUGCUUCUGCUGUAGGCUUAGUAUGUAAUCUGCAAAGGUAAGGUAAACUGAAAGGGCACAGAACAUCAUCUGCACCGAGAUGCCAUUGGCCUAGUCACAGUUCUGAGUUUACAAUGCAGAAGAAACACUAUUACCAUCUUUUAAAAAGUUUUUUUGCACUGCCUUUUUCCUUUGGUCAUUCACCACCAGCUUAUUCAUUUUUUUUGCAUGUGAAACACAACAUGUUUUACUAGUGGCCACAAUGUGUAUACUUUUUUUAAAUUGUUAUUUUCAUGACAUAGCAAAUUGUUUCUAUGGAAUCCUUAUAAAGGUCAUUUAAAAUGACAUGUGCAGUAAGUCAGUCUUCUUGUGCUAGGAAAUUAAAAAAUAUAUAUAUAGAGAAAAAUACAAAAAUCACUGAACCUGAACACCUAUAGGGAAGUUUUGUUAGCAGUUGGUCUAUUUUCUUUCAGUCACACAGAGAUCAUAUCUAACGGGUAAAGAACAUUCCAUACUGUCAACAGACCAUACUGUCUUCUAAAAUCGCUUCAGCAGUGAGGAUCCUCUCCAAUAGAUCUUGUUAGUCCUGAGGAAUUAUUCUCCCAGUGGUGAGUUGUGAGAAGUGGAAUCACCAAAUGAAUUUCUGACAGAACUGACCCCUUCUUGUGUGGCUGGGAUGCUGACCUGGGUGUUAGGCCGGUCGCGCCGGAACCCAGCACCCAUGCUGAGUCUUUCUGAGCUCCACUCUUCUCCUGUAAGAGAUUAAUAACUGAGGUAGCUGUCCAGAUCCAAGGCGGUAGUGAUUUUAUGUGUCUGCGUAUUUAUCACGGAGUUCGCGGCGGGAACGCGGGGACUGUCCCACGUCCCCAGACCUCUAGUAGGGUGCGGCGCGAUAAGCAUCUUCCAUAAACCUUAACCUCCCUGUCGCUCAGUCACUGGUUCUUAUUUCAGCCCUCUUAGCCACGUAGGUCGGCGGGUUAAAAACCUUUCUGGUACCUGGAGGCCUUUCCUAAGAAAACGCACAUCUCUUGCACAUUUAAGUCUCCGUCUGGUCUGCAACUUGAGAUGCGUCAGGACCCGAGGUUCAUCCGAGCUGCCGCUCCGUUCCCGAGCCGGGGACUUGCCAGAACACUGGCCUCACCUCCCGGCGCGGCGGGCGGCCUCGGGAGACGGCCUCGGGAGGAGUGGGAUUCCGGGUGCCCCGCGCAAGCCAAGGACUGCCAGACUCGGGAGGCCCUGCCCACCGCGCUGCGGCCUCCGGGCCACCGCCACCCCGCGCAUCGCCAGCUGCGGCAGGACCCAGCGGGGCCCAAAGCCUCACGCCCCCGGACCGCCCCUGGCCGCAGCUUGUUUACUCCCCGACGCAGGCUAGUGCGACCCUGGGGCCCGCCCCAGCCCGCCGCCUAUUGGCCGAGGAUGCGCGAAGGCAGGCAACGAUUGGUCCGGGGAGAAGCGGGGCGAGCGGGGUAGGCUGCGCUAGAGGCCGAGAGGGGGCGGCAGGCGAUGGCGGCUGCGGCAGCGGCGGCAGGUCGGUUAGGCUGGUUGUUCGCCGCGCUUUGCCUGGGCAACGCCGCGGGGGAGGCCGCGCCGGGCCCGCGAGUGCUGGGCUUCUGUCUGGAGGAGGACGGAGCGGCGGGCGCGGGGUGGGUACGCGGAGGAGUGGCGCGGGACACGCCGGACGCCACCUUCCUCCUGCGCCUCUUCGGCCCGGGCUUUGCCAACAGCUCCUGGUCCUGGGUGACCCCCAAGGGGGCGGGCUGCCCGGAGGAGGCGGCGGCCCCCGCGGGCGAGUGGCUCGCGCUGCUGCGCCUGCGCCUGCGGGCAGAGGCGGUGCGCCCGCACUCCGCGCUACUGGCGGUGCGCGUGGAGCCGGGCGGCGGGGUGGCUGAGGAAGCGGCGCCGCCCUGGGCUCUGGGCCUGGGGGCGGCCGGGCUGCUGGCGUUGGCGGCGCUGGCGCGGGGCCUGCAGCUGAGCGCGCUGGCGCUGGCGCCGGCCGAGGUGCAGGUGCUGCGCGAGAGCGGCUCGGAGGCAGAGCGUGCGGCGGCGCGGCGCUUGGAGCCCGUGAGGCGCUGGGCUGGCUGCGUCUUGGGCGCGCUGCUGCUGCUGGCCAGCCUGGCGCAGGCGGCGCUGGCGGUGCUGCUGUACCGCGCGGCCGGCCAGCGUGCGGUGCCCGCCGUGCUGGGCAGCGCGGGGCUCGUGUUCCUGGUGGGCGAGGUGGUGCCGGCCGCCGUGAGCGGACGCUGGGCGCUAGCGCUGGCGCCGCGCGCGCUUGGCCUCAGCCGCCUGGCGGUGCUGCUCACCCUUCCCGUGGCGCUGCCCGUUGGGCAGCUGCUAGAGCUGGCGGCGCGGCCCGGGCGGCUGCGGGAGCGGGUGCUGGAGCUGGCGCGCGGCGGAGGCGACCCCUACAGCGAUCUCAGCAAGGGAGUGCUGCGCUGCCGGACCGUGGAGGACGUGCUCACACCCCUCGAAGACUGCUUCAUGCUGGACGCCAGCACCGUGCUGGAUUUCGGCGUCCUGGCCAGCAUCAUGCAGAGCGGCCACACGCGCAUCCCUGUGUACGAGGAGGAGCGCUCCAACAUCGUGGACAUGCUCUACCUCAAGGACUUGGCCUUCGUGGAUCCCGAAGACUGUACACCGCUCAGCACGAUAACUCGCUUCUACAACCAUCCCCUCCACUUCGUCUUCAACGACACCAAGCUGGACGCUGUCCUGGAGGAGUUCAAGCGAGGGAAGUCCCACCUGGCCAUCGUGCAGAAGGUGAACAACGAGGGUGAGGGCGACCCCUUCUACGAGGUCCUGGGCCUAGUCACCCUGGAGGAUGUGAUCGAGGAGAUCAUCAGAUCUGAGAUCCUGGACGAGUCCGAAGACUACCGAGACACCGUGGUAAGGAGGAAGCCUGCUUCUCUGAUGGCCCCUCUCAAGCGGAAGGAGGAGUUCUCCUUGUUCAAGGUGUCUGAUGAUGAAUAUAAAGUAAAAAUCUCACCUCAGCUGCUCUUGGCCACCCAGCGCUUCCUGUCCCGAGAAGUGGAUGUAUUCAGCCCACUGCGCAUCUCUGAGAAGGUCUUGCUGCACCUGCUGAAGCAUCCCAGCGUCAACCAGGAAGUGAGGUUUGACGACAGCAACCGCUUGGCCACACACCACUACCUGUACCAGCGUAGCCAACCGGUGGAUUACUUCAUUCUUAUCCUACAGGGCAGGGUUGAAGUGGAGAUCGGGAAAGAGGGCCUGAAGUUUGAGAAUGGGGCCUUCACGUACUAUGGAGUGUCGGCCCUGACCGUGCCAUCCUCGGUUCACCAGUCCCCGGUGUCCUCGCUCCAGCCCAUCCGCCAUGACCUGCAGCCUGAGCCAGACGGCAUGCGUUCAUCUACAUAUUGUCCCGACUACACCGUCAGGGCGCUCUCUGACCUGCAGCUCAUCAAGGUUACGCGGCUGCAGUACCUCAAUGCACUCCUGGCUACCCGAGCCCAGAACCUGCCACAAUCCCCCGAGAACACUGACCUGCAGGUCAUCCCAGGCAGCCAGACCAGGCUCCUCGGUGAGAAGACAGCCAUAGCGGCAGCCUUCCCAGUAGACCUUUCCCUCUUUGGCACAGUUGGAAACUGCAGUUGAUAAAUGACUGUGGACUAGUGCGCAUUUUUUGUUUUCAGAGCACACCCAAGGGUCCAGCCACAGCAGGCCUGGCAUCCCGGUGGAAGGCAGCCCUGGGCGGAACCCAGGUGUUUAACUGCUUGCUAGGCAGCCCCAGAUCUGGGGAACAGACGAGCACAUGGGGAGCUGGAGUGAGCCAAGCAGAAGCUUCAUGCCUGCCUGCCCCCAUCCCCUCCAGGCCACGUUUUAGAUGGCCCUUGUAGAUGUGGGUCCUGGACGUCCUCAGAACUUGACAUCAAUGCCUGGAUCCUUCAGCCGGCCCUGCCCUCCUUUAGAAGAUGGGGGUCACCAGGGCACAGCUUUCCAGCCCUGCAUCAGGAAGGAACGAAGGGAGCACCAUCUGUUGUCCCCAGGGCCCUGGCUUCCCCGUCUCCCCAGAGGCUGGGACAGUGCAGCAUAUUCAGACCUCUUUGGGCCAAGCCACCUUGUGAGUGCAGUUACUGCCUUAUGUGGCCAAGACCUGUACUCGCUUUGCUUUUAAUUUGCCAGCCUACCACUGCUGCCAGCACUUUUUGAGCAAACCGAGAGCACCCAUUUGGUGUUGGGGGUUCAAAACCAUGACCUUGUCCAUGGUGUCCUUUCCAGCUUCCCUGAUGGUGCCACAUUUCAGAGCAUGCGCACCAGCCUUUCCCAUGUGCCAAACCAGAAGCUCUGCUACCUGUAGUCUGUCCCUGUAGCCCUUCUCCCUCCCUGGAGGCUGCUCUUCUGACCCUGAGAGCUGGCCUAGUGGUGCCAAGGUUCCCUUUCUGCUUCUCUGCCCGCCUGCUGAGUUGCCACUCACAGCAUUGUCAGUUCCUGUGUUCUGAGAAGAGGUCACGCCUGGAAGGAAGGGAUCAUCAUGCUGCAUUGAAUCCUCCCCCACUGUGUGGCCUCGGGGAGAGUGGCCGCCUGUUGCACCUACUGCACGCCUCCCCACAGCCUCCCUGCAGGUGCUGUAUGGCUGUGAUGUGCAGAGAGCAUCGAGGGAGGGUUUAUGAACCAGGUAGAUCCUCAUGACCUUUCUUUAAAAAAAAAAAAAUCAGUUUUUGUUAUAUCUCUAGAACAUUCCGAGUCUUUUCCUUUUUUUCUGUUCCUGGCUGUGGGGUUUUAGAGAAGUGGGAAUAGGAAGGCAUUUGUCUUUUUUUUCUAAUUUACUAUAUUUUUUUCCAUAGUUCUUGAGCUGUGUGGAAACCGGGGCAUUACAAGGACAUAGGAUCAUAGAUUGGGGGUAGGGAGGGAGAAGGAUUUGUGGAACCUUUCUCAAAGGAAUUUGGACCCUUACAAAUGGGACUGAAGGCCAAAAGAACAGGGGUAUGCUUGCUUAGAAAUUGUCCUCAAGGAAUCAACUCUUAACAGCAAGCCCAGGUGGGAAACAGAUGCUUUAAAGUCCUCUCCAGAACAGUGGGUUUGUUGUUGUUGUUGUUUGAGAUGGAGUCUCACUGUGUCGCGCAGGCUGGAGUGCAGUGAUGUGAUCUCAGCUCACUGCAACCUCCACCUCCCAGGUUCAAGCGGUUCUCUUGCCUCAGCCCCUGAUCACUAGCUGGGAUUACAGGCACCUGUGCCAUGGCGCCUGGCUAAUUUUUGUAUUUUUAGUAGAGAUGGGGUUUCACCAUGUUGGCCAGGCUGGUCUUGAAUUCCUUACUUCAGGUGAUGCACCCGCUUUGGCCUCCCAAAGUGCUGGGAUUGCGGGCAUGAGCUAAGAACAGUGGUUCUUAACCUUGGCUGCAAAUCAGAAUCACCUGGCAAAUUAAAAAUACGUGGACCUGCCACCAGGGCUUGUGAUUUAAUCAAUCUGGGCAUCAGCAUUUUUAGUUGUUUUUUUUUUUUUAUGUAGAGACAGAUUUCAUCAUGUUGACCAGGCUAGUCUUGAACUCCUGACCUCAGGUGAUCCACCUGCCUUGGCCUCCCAAAGUGCUAGGAUUACAAGCGUGAGCCACUGUGCCCAGCCUUUUUUUUCCCUUUUUUUAAAGACAAGAUCUCACUCUGUUGUUGCCCAGACUGAGUGCAGUGGUGUGAUCACGGCUUGCUGCAGCCUCCACCUCUCUGGUUCAGGCCAUCCUGUCACCUCAACCUCCUGAAUAGCUGGGACUAUGGGUAUGUACCACCACACCCAGCCAAUUCUUUUAAUUUUUUGUAGAGAUUGGGUCUCAUUAUGUUGCCUGGGCUAGUCUCAAAUCCUGCGCUCAAGUGAUCCUCCCAUAGUGUUGAGAUUAUAGGCGCGAGUCACCAUGCCUGGCCUUGAGAUAUUUUUAGAUUCACAGAAAAGUUGCAUAGACCUUUCACCCAGCUUCCCCUAAUGUUAACAUCUUACAUAUAACCUUGGUACAUUUAUCAAAACUAAAAAAAUUAACAUUGGUGCAAUUAUACUAUUAAAAUAGUACAGAGUUUAUUUGGAUUUUACCAGUUUUCCCAAUAAUGUCCUUUUUCUGCUGCAGCAGCCCAUCCAGGACGCCAUGCUCACUUAAAGCUAUUGCUUUCUUUUUUUUCUAACUUAAUAUUUUGAAAUAAUUUCAGAUUAUCGGAAGUUGUAAAGAUAAUGGUCCCACACACCCUUCCUCCAGUUUCCCUCCAUGGUUACAUCUUACAUGAUUGUAAUGCAGUAUUCCAACCAAGACUUUGACUGGUGCAGUGUGGGUGGACAGUCCAAAUCAUUUGUCACAUGUACAUUUGUGUAACUACCACUGCAAUCAAGAUAAAGAAGUGCCAUCCCCGCAAGGAUCUCCCUCCCCACCCUCCCUAACCCCUGGCAAACACCAUCCUUCAUCUCUUACUUUGUCAUUUCAAGAAUGUUGCAUAAAUGGAAGCAUAGUGUGUAAGCAUUCGGGAUGGUCUUUUUUCACUCUGUAAUUCUCGGGAGACCACCCAGGGGUUGCAUGUGUCAAUGGUGUGUUCCUUUUUAUUGCUGAGUGGUAUUCUGUGGUGUAUGCACUGGCCCCCUGAAGGACACCUGGGAUGUUUCCAAUUUUGGGCUAUUCCAAAUAAAGCUGCUACAAAUAUUCAUGUA